CCAAAUUAACUUGCCAAAAUGAGCACGUGAUGGUUUUCUCAUAUUCACAUAAUUCGGUCUCAAUAAUGAUAGAUAGCAAUGAAAUCUACAUAUGUUAGAUAAGAAAUCAUGUGUUGAUUCUCUCCACAUGAUUCUCUCCUCAAUCCAACUUUUCUUUGCUGCAACACUCUUACUUGAUCUGAAUGACUGAAUGUUAGUAAUCAUUCUGUAAGUGGUUAAAACCAUAGUGAAUAUGUGAAAAAGAAAAGGCAUAUAUACAGUUUGUUUAAAUGUCAUUUUGCUUUGACAAGCUUUCAUCCAUUAUUUUUAUCCAAUAUGAAUAUGUGAUUAAAAUUAACUAAUGAAAGAUUAAGAUCUUUUUUUUUUUUUUGUCAAAGUAGCCUAGUGGCUANNNNNNNNNNNNNNNNNNNNNNNNNNNNNNNNNNNNNNNNNNNNNAAUUCGGGGUUCGAACCCCGGCCACUCCGAUAAUAUCUCUGGUAGCUACCAUUUUAGUUACAUUUAUGGGACGAAAGAUUGAGCUUUUAAGUUGGGAUUUAGUUAAAAGAUUUUGUGCGGGUCCAAAAACAAAUGUAACACAUUUUUCACAAACUCGAAGAAUUUUACAGAUAAACCUGUUGGGAUAUGAAAGGAAAGCCAUAGAAACAAUUUCAACAAAGAGAUAAGAUAGAGCAAUAGAAAUAAAAAAUGCAGCAGAGCACAUGUAAGCAACCAAUUCUAAGUGCUACAAGUGCUUGUUUUGCGAGGAGCUGUUUGUCGUAAGAACGAAACAUUUUGCAAGUGCUUUCUUGUUUUGUGCGAAGCAUAAUUGGAUCAUACCUUGGUAGUGGAAUCAUUGGAGUCUUCCAUGCAACACUUGAAAUAAUUGGACACCAACUCUGCGAUCAAAUGUUCAGAUUAGUACAAUCCUCACUAGUUCUAUUGAAACGAGAAAACAAAAUUGGCCACGUAAUAAAGAGAAAAAUCCAGAAUCAACUCAACUCCAGAAAUUUACAACCAGCUCUUUUGAAAUUAAGCUAUAUCUUACACACAUCUUUAAAAUACACUGUCAAAAAGGCAAAGAGAGUUAUCAGCUUUUGGUAAAUGAAAUGCCAUAUGAAGAACUGAAGAAAAGCAAAC
RNAcentral lists this long non-coding RNA (1117 nucleotides) under Trifolium pratense (red clover). RNAcentral's name for it is "long non-coding RNA (TPRA_LNC006836)". The record is from RNAcentral. Lineage: Eukaryota; Viridiplantae; Streptophyta; Magnoliopsida; Fabales; Fabaceae.